GAAAUGCGAUAAGUAAUGUGAAUUGCAGAAUUCAGUGAAUCAUCGAAUCUUUGAACGCAUAUUGCGCCCGUCGGCAUUCCGGCGGGCACGCCUGUUCGAGCGUCUUUCCAACCUCUUCGAGCAUUAACUUGCUUGGUCAUGGGCGUUGUCUCCCCUUUGGCAGCGUGCUGCAAUCAAAGGGGCGCCUGAAAGUCAGACUCCUCUUCGAGGAGGGUGCAGUGGAGCUUCUUGUGGCUCUACAGCCGAGGAGAGCGUCUAUGCUACCGCCGUAAGCACCCCCGAGUGUGAUGGGCGUAGUUUUUGAGUGUCCCCUCGGCGUUGCCUUUUUAUUUUAUCAAUGACCUCGGAUCAGGCGGGGAUACCCGCUGAACUUAAGC
Molecule: unclassified non-coding RNA, 377 nt
Filed under: plant metagenome
Description: partial contains 5.8S ribosomal RNA, internal transcribed spacer 2, and large subunit ribosomal RNA
Rfam family: 5.8S ribosomal RNA (bases 1-105)
Source: RNAcentral